GGAAUUGAAAUGUUCAGUUUAAAGUAAAUAUAGGACUCAUUUUUGUAGAAAUAUGCCAAACAUAUAUACAUAUUUUUACAGGUGAUUAUUUAUUCAUGCAAAAUAUCUGCAGCGAGUCUGUGGUUAAAAGUAAAUUGCUAAAUAAAACUGAAAUAUUAUAAACUCACCAUCGGCUCUUUAUAAUCCCUUAAUUUCUGAAGGACAAAAUCUGUGUGACUCAGUGUACUUCACGCGUCCCAUCAAAUGACUGAAGGACUUUGGACCGCUACCGUGCCAAAUGGAGAGCUGGAGAGCCGACGGGCGCGCAGGAAAUGCCAAGAAAGUGAGUUUCUCGAUCAGAGCGUAAUCCCCUCCUUUCUUUCCAGGUAGAAAAAAAGUCUAAACGAUAUAAACUUCGGAGGAAUUUAAACCUUGCAAAUAUUUGCUUGAACACUUUUUUUUACGCAAUUCCAAAUGAAAGCGCACGCCGGUCUGACGCUCCUAUCCAGAGGGUCUGUCCACUGUACCGCCUUUUGAGGCGCUUGGUCCAUGGGCAGUCCUAGUCUACACCUGUUAGAUUUCUCUCUCUCUCGCUCUCUCUCUCUCUCGCUCUCUCUCUCCCCCCCUCUCUCUCUCUCUCUCUCGCGCUAUCCCCGUUUUGUUUUCUCUUUUUUCUUUUUUGGUUUGUUUGUUUUUUUGCUAAAACGGAUGUUUUUUGUUAAAUUCUUUUUUAUACACACUCACAAUAGCAAAUAUUAUUAUUUCAUUAUUAUGGCUGUUGUAUUAUGUUGCUGUUGUUCAUAUUGUCAUUAUGCUGCAUUUAUUUACCUUCAAACUGACACAAAUGUGGACUCAAUCACACAUAUUGUUCCAUCUGUAUCUCGCUAGCCCGACAUUCACCUGUUGUUAGAGGCAAACUCUUUGCAAGCAAAAUGUUUGAUAGAGUGUUGCAAAAGGAAGGCAGAUGUUUUCAUCUUCUGUGUGCCAGGCAAGGGAGGACAGAGCAUGGUGACUAAGUAAAAGCUGCCUCGGCAUGAUGUGUGAGGAAUGGAGAGGAGACACUAAAUGUUCCCCAGACCAUUGUCUGUGUGUGUGACUCGCAUCCCACUGCUAUAAAGCCUCAUUAGUGAGACACCCUGCCCCAGACAUUGUGCUGCUCUUUUUCUUUUACCUAAAAACUCACACACAGGCACAUAUAAUACCUCCACUUCAGUGUUUAUACACAUGCAUCCUAGUGGAUGUACGGACAAAGAGAUUUUACACCAUUAAUUCUGGAAAGGCAAGUUUUGCAUCCUUGUAUCAGCAUUCCCUACAGUUCUAGUUACCACGGCAUCACUUUCACUGGUGGUCACAUUUCAUUUCAGAAACAUAUUGGGCAGAUUUUUAGUUCAUAUCAUCAUUUCCUUGGAGUCUUGUGUCACCUGUCUGACAGGCACAAUCACACAUCUGCGAGUUUAAAGUUUAAUGGCCGAAGCAGUGGCAGCAAGGGGAAUAGGUCUGCAUUCAGUAUUG
Astatotilapia calliptera (eastern happy) is the source of this 1491-nucleotide long non-coding RNA. The record is from Ensembl. NCBI's taxonomy places the organism in Eukaryota, Metazoa, Chordata, Actinopteri, Cichliformes, Cichlidae.